This 449-nucleotide ribosomal RNA is filed under the name Blastocystis sp. subtype 1. RNAcentral's name for it is "SSU rRNA". It matches the Rfam family "Eukaryotic small subunit ribosomal RNA", at positions 477 to 942 of the family's 1831-position model. Lineage: Eukaryota; Bigyra; Opalinata; Blastocystidae. The record is from RNAcentral.
ACAAUGCGGGACUAUACGUCUUGCAAUUGGAUUGAGAACAAUGUACAACUCUUAUCGAUAAGCCAUUGGAGGGCAAGUCUGGUGCCAGCAGCCGCGGUAAUUCCAGCUCCAAUAGCGUAUAUUAACGUUGUUGCAGUUAAAAAGCUCGUAGUUGAAGUGUGGGUGAUCGCUGUUGUGAGACUUCGGUCUCUCGACAGUAAGUCACCCCCUUCCAGUAUCCAGUAGUGGGUAUUCACUUACUUACUAUUGUGUGUUGGUCCUUUACUGUGAGAAAAUUAGAGUGUUCAAAGCAGGCGUUUGCUUGAAUAGAUUAGCAUGGAAUAAUAAUUGAAGGCUUUCGUGUUCGAUUUGAUUGGUUUGUUCAUGGAAGCAAGGUUAAAAGGAACAGUUGGGGGUAUUCAUAUUCACUAGUUAGAGGUGAAAUUCUCGGAUUUAUGGAAGAUGAACAA